GUGAAUCAUCGAAUCUUUGAACGCAAAUUGCACUCUCCUCGAAGAGUAUGCCUGUUUGAGUGUCAGCCUAAAAAAAAUCGACAUCGUUGCUGUUCCGCGGUUACGUUCGUCGGCAAUUGGGUGAUCUUAAACCUUUUGGUUUAAGCGGCUUAAAAUUUUCGUUUUGAUUCCAUAAACGUUUCUAGA
Molecule: unclassified non-coding RNA, 186 nt
Filed under: Glomus sp.
Lineage: Eukaryota; Fungi; Glomeromycota; Glomeromycetes; Glomerales; Glomeraceae
Description: partial contains 5.8S ribosomal RNA and internal transcribed spacer 2
Rfam family: 5.8S ribosomal RNA (bases 1-65)
Source: RNAcentral